Rattus norvegicus (Norway rat) is the source of this 95-nucleotide small nucleolar RNA. Ensembl annotates it as small nucleolar RNA SNORD116. The record is from Ensembl. NCBI's taxonomy places the organism in Eukaryota, Metazoa, Chordata, Mammalia, Rodentia, Muridae.
GCCAAAAUGGUAACUUCCUGUCAAACAUUCAUUUGUAAGAGCUUGACAAAAUAAGUGAAUAUUCAUUAUCACCAUUCUAAUAAUGACUGAAAUGC